AUUGAACGCUGGCGGCAUGCCUUACACAUGCAAGUCGAACGGCAGCACGGGAGCAAUCCUGGUGGCGAGUGGCGAACGGGUGAGUAAUAUAUCGGAACGUGCCCAGUCGUGGGGAUAACGUAGCGAAAGCUACGCUAAUACCGCAUACGAUCUAUGGAUGAAAGCGGGGGAUCGCAAGACCUCGCGCGAUUGGAGCGGCCGAUAUCAGAUUAGGUAGUUGGUGAGGUAAAGGCUCACCAAGCCGACGAUCUGUAGCUGGUCUGAGAGGACGACAGCCACACUGGGACUGAGACACGGCCCAGACUCCUACGGGAGGCAGCAG
Molecule: ribosomal RNA, 322 nt
Filed under: uncultured bacterium
Lineage: Bacteria
Description: bacterial SSU rRNA
Rfam family: Bacterial small subunit ribosomal RNA
Source: RNAcentral